GCCCGCUUAGCUCAGUGGUAGAGCGCAUCACUUGUACCGGUUCGAACCGGGUAAUGAUGAGGUCAGUCGUUCAAUCCGGCUAGUGGGCA
Molecule: transfer RNA, 89 nt
Filed under: Cubamyces sp. BRFM 1775
Lineage: Eukaryota; Fungi; Basidiomycota; Agaricomycetes; Polyporales; Polyporaceae
Description: Leiotrametes sp. BRFM 1775 tRNA-Thr
Rfam family: tRNA
About the family: Transfer RNA (tRNA) molecules are approximately 80 nucleotides in length. Their secondary structure includes four short double-helical elements and three loops (D, anti-codon, and T loops).
Source: RNAcentral